CCCUGGCUCCCAUACAGCUGGGCCUAAAACAUUAUAUCAAACAAUAUAACACGAUAAAACACAACAAAACACAUACCAAGAUGUAUGAUAUAGUGUGUAUGGGAGCCAGGGUGAGGGCUACCUGUUGAGUUAUAUUGUAUUUUUGUUAUAUUAUCGCACAACACAACACAAUAUAAUUAAGCAAUAUCACACAAAAGGGAUUACUGUUGUACUGAAUAUCAGCACGUGUUGUGGUGUCAGCAGUCUGCUGUGUUUUCCUCCGCCUGGUCUGCCACUCCUCCUGUCUGUCUCACCUCACACCUGGCCCUCAUCUACAAUCAUGCUCACCUGGUCUUCAUCCCCAAUCAACCCCCUUCAUAAACCCUUGGAUUCCCUGCUGUCGGCGCCAGAUCGUACUACGCACUACCGUGUUACCCGGAUCACUCACUCCAGCUCGCCCACCUCGCUCUUCCCCCGGCUCCCUCAUCCACUACCUGCUUCCCACCUUGUUCAAUAAACCCCUUUUUAUCCCUUCAA
Molecule: long non-coding RNA, 516 nt
Organism: Gadus macrocephalus (Pacific cod)
Lineage: Eukaryota; Metazoa; Chordata; Actinopteri; Gadiformes; Gadidae
Exons: 2
Source: RefSeq, a predicted model, not a curated record